This 312-nucleotide ribosomal RNA is filed under the name Chryseobacterium sp. Its description in RNAcentral is "bacterial SSU rRNA". It matches the Rfam family "Bacterial small subunit ribosomal RNA", at positions 563 to 877 of the family's 1533-position model. The record is from RNAcentral. Lineage: Bacteria; Pseudomonadati; Bacteroidota; Flavobacteriia; Flavobacteriales; Weeksellaceae.
AAGGGUCCGUAGGCGGGCCGAUAAGUCAGUGGUGAAAUCUCGCAGCUUAACUGUGAAACUGCCAUUGAUACUGUCGGUCUUGAGUAAAUUUGAAGUGGCUGGAAUAAGUAGUGUAGCGGUGAAAUGCAUAGAUAUUACUUAGAACACCAAUUGCGAAGGCAGGUCACUAAGAUUUAACUGACGCUGAGGGACGAAAGCGUGGGGAGCGAACAGGAUUAGAUACCCUGGUAGUCCACGCCGUAAACGAUGCUAACUCGUUUUUGGAUUUUCGGAUUCAGAGACCAAGCGAAAGUGAUAAGUUAGCCACCUGGG